CCUACGGGAGGCUGCAGUGGGGAAUAUUGCACAAUGGGCGAAAGCCUGACGCAGCGACGCCGCGUGAGCGAUGAAGGCCUUCGGGUCGUAAAGCUCUGUCCUAAGGGAAGAAGAAGGACGGUACGUUAUGAGGGAACCUCGGCUAACUAGGGGCCAGAAGCCGCGGUAAACCGUGGGGGGCGAGCUUGUGCAGGACUUACGGGGCAAAAAGGGGGCGGAGGCGGCUUUUUAAGUCCGGGGGGAAAGGUUUCGGCUCAACCGAAGUGAGCACUGGAAACUGGAGGGCUUGAGUGCAGGAGAGGAGAGCGGAAUUCCUAGUGUAGCGGUGAAAUGCGUAGAUAUGAGGAGGAACACCAGUGGCGAAGGCGGCUUUCUGGACUGUAACUGACGCUGAGGCGCGAAAGCGUGGGGAGCAAACAGGAUUAGAUACCCUAGUAGUC
Molecule: ribosomal RNA, 440 nt
Filed under: uncultured bacterium
Lineage: Bacteria
Description: bacterial SSU rRNA
Rfam family: Bacterial small subunit ribosomal RNA
Source: RNAcentral